This 247-nucleotide ribosomal RNA is filed under the name uncultured Azoarcus sp. RNAcentral's name for it is "partial 16S ribosomal RNA". It matches the Rfam family "Bacterial small subunit ribosomal RNA", at positions 527 to 773 of the family's 1533-position model. The record is from RNAcentral. Lineage: Bacteria; Pseudomonadati; Pseudomonadota; Betaproteobacteria; Rhodocyclales; Zoogloeaceae.
GUAGGGUGCGAGCGUUAAUCGGAAUUACUGGGCGUAAAGCGUGCGCAGGCGGUUGUGUAAGACAGGUGUGAAAUCCCCGGGCUUAACCUGGGAACUGCGCUUGUGACUGCACGGCUAGAGUACGGCAGAGGGGGGUGGAAUUCCACGUGUAGCAGUGAAAUGCGUAGAGAUGUGGAGGAACACCGAUGGCGAAGGCAGCCCCCUGGGCCGAUACUGACGCUCAUGCACGAAAGCGUGGGGAGCAAAC